Molecule: ribosomal RNA, 765 nt
Filed under: uncultured Streptococcus sp.
Lineage: Bacteria; Bacillati; Bacillota; Bacilli; Lactobacillales; Streptococcaceae
Description: bacterial SSU rRNA
Rfam family: Bacterial small subunit ribosomal RNA
Source: RNAcentral
GACGAACGCUGGCGGCGUGCCUAAUACAUGCAAGUAGAACGCUGAAGAGAGGAGCUUGCUCUUCUUGGAAGAGUUGCGAACGGGUGAGUAACGCGUAGGUAACCUGCCUUGUAGCGGGGGAUAACUAUUGGAAACGAUAGCUAAUACCGCAUAACAAUGGGUGACCCAUGUCAUUCAUUUGAAAGGGGCAACUGCUCCACUACAAGAUGGACCUGCGUUGUAUUAGCUAGUAGGUGAGGUAACGGCUCACCUAGGCGACGAUACAUAGCCGACCUGAGAGGGUGAUCGGCCACACUGGGACUGAGACACGGCCCAGACUCCUACGGGAGGCAGCAGUAGGGAAUCUUCGGCAAUGGGGGCAACCCUGACCGAGCAACGCCGCGUGAGUGAAGAAGGUUUUCGGAUCGUAAAGCUCUGUUGUAAGUCAAGAACGAGUGUGAGAGUGGAAAGUUCACACUGUGACGGUAGCUUACCAGAAAGGGACGGCUAACUACGUGCCAGCAGCCGCGGUAAUACGUAGGUCCCGAGCGUUGUCCGGAUUUAUUGGGCGUAAAGCGAGCGCAGGCGGUUUGAUAAGUCUGAAGUUAAAGGCUGUGGCUCAACCAUAGUUCGCUUUGGAAACUGUCAAACUUGAGUGCAGAAGGGGAGAGUGGAAUUCCAUGUGUAGCGGUGAAAUGCGUAGAUAUAUGGAGGAACACCGGUGGCGAAAGCGGCUCUCUGGUCUGUAACUGACGCUGAGACUCGAAAGCGUGGGGAGCGAACAGG